GGAUUAAAAGGCCUGGUAUCUGGAAACACUUCCUGAAGCAAUACAUAGCAAGAUAUAUAUUCAUUCAUGAUUCUUCUGGAAAUGUCCUUCAUAAAUUCUUGGAAGAAGCUGCCCGCCUAUACCCCCCGUUAAGUGAGAAUCAACGUCAGCAAUCGGGCCAAUAAGGAAGCUUCAAGGACCAGCAACACAUUUCAGUAUGACCAGUACAGACUCAACCAUACACACUGUCCAGACCUAUACAGUAUAUUAUGACGGCACCAAUGACAACUGAUGAAACACAGUUGAUCUGUGGGAGAUAAGGAAACCUCAAGAGCACAAUACACAGAAGUCUUGGAAGAACUCUGAAGAAAACAGUACGAGACAUACCAAAAGGUACUUUCUCCAUCACUGCCUAAAGUGGACCUGAAUUUAGUUGGACCUGAUGUGAAUUAGUCUAAAGUGGGCUGGACCUAAAGUUAAUUGGACCUGCAGUGAACUAGACCUGAAGUUAACUGGGCCUACAGGAC
RNAcentral lists this long non-coding RNA (506 nucleotides) under Homarus americanus (American lobster). Its description in RNAcentral is "uncharacterized LOC121879793, transcript variant X2". The record is from RNAcentral. Lineage: Eukaryota; Metazoa; Arthropoda; Malacostraca; Decapoda; Nephropidae.